RNAcentral lists this ribosomal RNA (529 nucleotides) under Colletotrichum fuscum. RNAcentral describes it as "eukaryotic LSU rRNA". It matches the Rfam family "Eukaryotic large subunit ribosomal RNA", at positions 104 to 657 of the family's 3401-position model. Lineage: Eukaryota; Fungi; Ascomycota; Sordariomycetes; Glomerellales; Glomerellaceae. The record is from RNAcentral.
ACAGCUCAAAUUUGAAAUCUGGCCCCAGGCCCGAGUUGUAAUUUGCAGAGGAUGCUUUUGGCGCGGUGCCUUCCGAGUUCCCUGGAACGGGACGCCAUAGAGGGUGAGAGCCCCGUACGGUUGGACACCAAGCCUUUGUAAAGCUCCUUCGACGAGUCGAGUAGUUUGGGAAUGCUGCUCAAAAUGGGAGGUAUAUUUCUUCUAAAGCUAAAUAUAGGCCAGAGACCGAUAGCGCACAAGUAGAGUGAUCGAAAGAUGAAAAGCACUUUGAAAAGAGGGUUAAACAGCACGUGAAAUUGUUAAAAGGGAAGCGCUUGUGACCAGACUUGCGUCCGGUGAAUCACCCAGCUCUCGCGGCUGGGGCACUUCGCCGGCACAGGCCAGCAUCAGCUUGCCGUCGGGGACAAAAGCUUCAGGAACGUAGCUCUCUUCGGGGAGUGUUAUAGCCUGUUGCAUAAUACCCUUCGGCGGGCUGAGGUACGCGCUCCGCAAGGAUGCUGGCGUAAUGGUCAUCAGCGACCCGUCUUGA